UUCACAAGCUCAUCCAAGCACCAUUUUGAAGCAGCAUAAUUCUUGGAGAAGACAAUGAUAGAAAUCCUGGAUUUUUCGAUUGCUCGGAGAAGUGAUUUUGUAAUGAGACUUCCUCGUUGUAGGUUUUUGUCAUCCCUGUAUGCCUUGAUCUGUCUCCCUAAUAGACCAGCAAGAAGAUGGUCUGUGAAUUUGUCGCGGGUGUCUUUGCCACUAAAGCUGAGAAAGACUUCGUACCUCCACGCAGGUGUUGCAAGAGGAGCAGUAGAAGGAGGAGGAGGAGGAUAAGGGUAAGAACGAGGGAGUUCUUCCAUGGCCUCCGAUGCCAUCUACUAGCCUGUUUGUGCUUUGAUUAAUG
This 355-nucleotide unclassified non-coding RNA is filed under the name Hevea brasiliensis (rubber tree). Lineage: Eukaryota; Viridiplantae; Streptophyta; Magnoliopsida; Malpighiales; Euphorbiaceae. The record is from RNAcentral.